AGAUACACUGCUUUAUUUACUCAGUUGUUUGCCUGAAGCAAGUCAGGAAUUUGUGCCAUCUGCCUUAUUUCAGUUAAAACAGCCUUAUAAACACCCGCAAGAGACGGACAGACAGACAGACAAAACCCCCACCAACGUUUUCCCUAGGCAGAAUGGACAUCAAGGAGUAUUUUGCCAGAAUUUCUUACCGGGGUUCCUACAAUAAGCCAGACCUGCCUACUCUGUCAGAUAUAUUCCAGCACCACAUCCGAGCUGUCCCUUUUGAAAACCUCAGCAUCCACUGUGGGGAAAGGAUUGAGCUGGACCUGGAAGCAACCUACAACAAGAUAGUGAGGAAGAAACGUGGAGGUUGGUGCAUGGAAAACAACAGCCUUUUGUCUUGGGUCCUGAAAACUCUUGGCUAUGACAUCACCCUUCUGGGAGCCAACGUUUACGUCCCGGAGCGCGACGCCUACCCAGAGGAAAUCGAUCAUCUGCUGAUGAAAGUGGUGCUUGAUGGCAAAUCCUACAUUGUGGAUGGGGGGUUUGGGAUGGCCUACCAGAUGUGGCAGCCAAUGGAGCUGAUUUCAGGGGCAGAUCAGCCGCAGACUCCCGGGGUCUUUCGCUUCCGGGAGGAGGGCGGAACCUGGUACCUCGAAAAGUUGAAAAGGAAGCAGUUGAUUCCCAACCAAGAUGCCUCCACUUCCCAUAAAGUGGAAGAUGAAGUUUGCCGCCCCAUUUACCUCUUUACCCUUCAGCCACGAGACAUUGAAGAGUUCAGAGGCUGCAAUGCCCUCCUGCAGACAGCGCCCGACUCACCCUUCAUGACCAAGUCCUUUUGCAGCCUGCAGACUGCCGACGGCGUCCGGGCACUGGUGGGGUGGAAACUCACUGAGACGAAGUUCAAUUAUAGGGACAAUAUGGAUCUUGUGGAAAUCAGAAUGCUUGCAGAUGAAGAAAUAGAGAAAACGCUGAAAGAGAAAUUCAAUAUAACGCUAGACAAGAAAUUUGUACCCGUCAAUUAAAGCAGGUGGUCUCUGUUCUAACUCACUGCCUGAAUUAUAAUUCAAUCCAGGGGCAUUACAGGCAAUUCCCUCCCUCUUUCUGACAAGCAUCUAAAGGUUAAGCUUUUCCCUUCCAUCUACACCAGUGUAAGGCAGAACACACUAACACGAAUCUCCAAAAGAAAUGGAUUUUCACAACUAUUCCUACAUCUCUUUUUGCUUUGGAUACAAAUAAUUCCUUCCUAGCUCAAUCAAAUCACUGUCCUCUGUUUGUUCUUAGCAGGAAGCACACUCUGCCCAUUCCCUACUCCUUUCAUCUCUUAAAAGCUUCUCUAAACACACCCAGAGUAGCUGGGCAGAACGAUGGAACUGUAUGUCUCUCUCUUUAUUACCUGGUGCUGCCACCUGGGGAAAAUCAUAUCCACCUCUUAAAUGAACACUGUAUUACUUUGGGAAUUUAAUAGCCAGAAAAACAAAGACAUCCUGUGCUGAGUUUGCUCCACAAGCCUGUCCUUUUUGCUCCUGCAUCCACAACACCGUCUCACGUGGCAGUCAGAGGGUGUCACACCUGUGCUGCACUGUGAGAGUACUUAAGGACAGGUUAUUUAUGGCCCUAAAACAGAUGAUAAGAAAUAUUAGUGACAAUUCUUUACAUGACUCCUGUCCUCUUGGUGACAUAACCAAAAAGCAGUAUUUCUUUGAACUGGAAGCAGUUCCUGAGCAUUUUGUUUGCUACCAGCCAGCAGCAGACUGCUGGGAAUCCAGGUUCCCACUGUCACUCUGAGUGUUACUGCACAUUAAUUAUUAUGGCUGAAUCCCAAAACAGGCACUGAAUUAUUUUUCUGAAACAUAUCUGUUCUACUGAGGAUGUGUUAGCAGUGAUACAAAUUAUAUUGAUAUAAGGAGAAACGAUGAAUCUUAAUCACAUACCUAAAGGCUAAGAUUUCUAGUAGGAGAAAUUACUCAAAUGUGAUCACUUCGCCCUUUGAGAAGAUACUUGAUGUUCCUUCAUGUACAAAUCUUGGAAGCAUUACAACCAUGCACUUAUAAUUUAGUAAAUUAUAUAAGUGAUUUACAGUUAAAUAAUAAUAAAAAAAAAUCAAACAUUGUGUGGUAGAAUUAUUCAGACAUUUCUCCCCCCCAAAUUACAGCGUGUAUUCCCAAAGUAGAAAAUGUCAUUAAUCACUGCAGUUGUCCUGAUUAUUUUUAUGUGUUAAUAUUUUGCAGCUAAGGCUUUUAAAAACACAAUAACUCACCAAACCUUUUUUUUACUUGGUAUGCAGUACAUGCAGCUUUCUAUAACUAGCAAUUUAUGGGGAAUAAAAGCUGCUGCUAUUCUGCAUGUUCAAAGUGUACUUCACAGAGACACAGUGAGCUCCCCAAAUCCCUGUCUCCCCAGAGUCAAACUCAUCUGUAUGUGCUUGGCUGUGAGUGUGCAAUAGUCCUUUAUAACACAUGAGGCUCUCCCACCCCCCAGGGAAAUGAAAUGUUAAUGCCAUCCUGUAGUGGAUUGCAGGGAAAAAGGGGCUUCUUAUGGUGUGGACCAGCAGCUCACAACACAGAUGAUCAGAAGAAAUUGUCCCAGGAUAUGGCCUGUUUGUGGUCUGUGCCUUUCUGUGGUCCCCACAAGAGUGGAAGAGCUAAAGGAGCUAAACUCAGUAGGUUUGUCCUUGUAGCAGCCUGGCAGCUGGGGCAAAGCACUGGGAUGAAGGCAAAACCCCAAGCAGGUCUUGCAAAGUUGUGGGGCAGGAGAAGAUCCAGGCAGAUCCAAGAAGCUCCGUCCUUUGUGGGAACAGAUAUUGGGAACACCUAGAAGGGGCUGUGCCCGCUCCUCUCUCUGUGCCCUGGGUGCUUCUUGCACUUUGUACUGUUCCACAGGCUCAGGGCAAGGAGCACAGAACCAUAAAACCAUAGACCUUUAAGAUCAGAGUAGGGCAUUACACCCAUUGCCCCAGAGAUUCAGCAUGUGAAGGCCAAUAACAGGGAACACCACUUUUCUUUCUGCUGACACAUCUCCUGGACUGUGUGCCCUGGCCCCUGCCAGGGCUGCUGCCCCUCCAUGGCACAGCUCAGCACUCCUGGCCGCUGCUCAGCACACCCACAGAGGCAGAUUUUAUU
Molecule: RNA transcript, 3101 nt
Organism: Myiozetetes cayanensis
Lineage: Eukaryota; Metazoa; Chordata; Aves; Passeriformes; Tyrannidae
Gene name: arylamine N-acetyltransferase, pineal gland isozyme NAT-3-like
Exons: 3
Source: RefSeq, a predicted model, not a curated record